CAUGUGUUCAACUGAAGUGUUUUUGAUGCCCUCGAUUUGACCUAACUUUGUAUUUUUUUAAAACAGCUUUGGAAUAAAGUUUGCCUUUUGUUUGAACCCAUAACUGCCUCCCUUUUUGCUGCACUUGGGCCCUAUUUCCCCAAACCCUGACAGUGUGUUGUUUUCCGAGAAGACUCUGAUGCCUUGUCAUCCCCUCCGUGCACUACGGAACAAUGGAGGAGGUAACGGAGUUUCUGCGCGGCAGAGGGGUCCCGGAGGAAAACAUAUUCCAAAUGGCAGAACAAAAGGUAUGGACAUGCCUGAAAGACACCGCUGCAUCACCAUUUUCUGCUUCUCCGAGGGUCCAGAAGAAUAUCCAAGAGGAAAAUGAAAACCUGAUUUUAUGAGAUUCAAGACCUAUAAAGUCCAAUAAAAUUAACUGAGAAACUACUUUUAUUGUGAAAAGAUCUGCACACUGAAUAGUUUUGUGGCCUAACAGGACCAUCAUUUGUUUGUGAAGUUGCACAUCAGACAAAGUGUGGUCAGCUGAUCAAAUGCACCUAUUUUGGUGCUAUCUCAACAUGGACUGUACAAUCGUGAGAUGAUUAUUUCUAUUUGCCUCGCUAUAUAAUCUUUACAAUACUUGUGUCUUUUACCACGGAAAACAAAUGUUGGCCAUCUGCAGUCAGAUUUGAAUGUGUAAUUUAACAUUUUCAGUAAGAAUAAAAGACAAAAAGGAGUACAAAUAUAAUGUAUUGAACCAGAAGUUAUCAUAGAUGAACUAUCAACAAGGUUUUAUAGAAAAAAAGGACAAGAUAGACAUAAGGUACAUGUCAGGGGGAGCGAAGCAUGCAGGACCCAAAAGCAGGAAGGAUACAGGGUUUAACUGAAAACACCUUUAUUUCAAGACCAAAACGAACAGAACUCUCUCCCUAAGGAAGGAAAAACAGAACUGAAAUACUAGAGGAGUGAUCACAAAGACAAGAUACAGGUGGGGAGGGAGUGAAAACACAGGGGCACCAGGUUAACACAAUUGGGUAAUCCAACAGGAGGGGACAGAGACAGGAAGAAGAAGCAGACAUAACUAGGGGAGUGCACACAUUUCAAAAUAAAACCAAGACAAAUUGUGACAGUACACUAUAUGUUAACCUAUUAAAUGUAUAAGUAAACACCUUUUGUCAAAUAGAGAGACAGAUUGGAACUGUGCAGGUGGUAACAGCUACUGUAUGCCCAGUAUGGGCUCAGGUUCUGUAGGUGCAGGUCUUCCUUCCUCAGGCCUGGUGCAGUCCUCAUCCUCCCAUAGAAAGACCUCUCCACCUCAGUCCUCU
Eleginops maclovinus (Patagonian blennie) is the source of this 1307-nucleotide long non-coding RNA. RefSeq lists it as uncharacterized. NCBI's taxonomy places the organism in Eukaryota, Metazoa, Chordata, Actinopteri, Perciformes, Eleginopidae. The transcript has 3 exons. The record is from RefSeq and is a predicted model, not a curated record.